UAAAAAUGAAAUUGAAGGAGAAUUGGCAAUGAAACGCUUCAUAUUGUUGCGCGUCAACCUCUGCUGCGGUUGAGAGCUCACUUGCCCACUUGGUUGGAUUCGCAACUGACAAGUCUUUGGUUGCAGCAGCUCCAAAAUUCCAAUAGAAUUUCGUCGCAUCUCAAUCCUCUGCAGAUAUGCAGCAGAGAGUAACGAUACCAAACAAGCAUGCCAAAAAUCUUGUUGGUACAUUGCAUGACAUUGACACGGGUUCACCACAGCUUGUAGUUCUGUGCCAUGGUUUCCGGUCCACAAAGGAGUACAAAAUCAUGGUUAAUCUUGCUGGAGCUUUACAAAAAGAAGGAAUCAGUGCUUUUCGCUUUGAUUUCUCUGGAAAUGGUGUACCGAAAUGAUCAUCUUGAUCAUUAGCCACCUUAACAACAUCUUUGGGUUAGGUUUCAUAUUGUACCGAAAAUCACGG
This is a long non-coding RNA of Salvia splendens (bonfire salvia), 460 nucleotides long. RefSeq lists it as uncharacterized. The transcript is spliced from 4 exons. NCBI's taxonomy places the organism in Eukaryota, Viridiplantae, Streptophyta, Magnoliopsida, Lamiales, Lamiaceae. The record is from RefSeq and is a predicted model, not a curated record.